CCGGGCUUCAGGGUCCCCUUGAGGACAGAGAUGUCCUUCUCAGCGUCCAGGAACUUCAGAAUCUGCUUUCUGGAAAAAAACAAAGAUGCUUGAGGAAGCCGCUUCCCUGCUACCCGUGGCCACCUGAAGUCACCUGUCCUCUGUCACCCUGCAGGGCCACGAUCACUGCGCCCUCAGGCGAGGCUGAAUCCAGACAUGCCCGAGAAGGGCGAACUGACAGGAACCCAACCUGAGAAGGGCGUCCUGACAGGAACCCAGCCUGCAGGAGGUGGCCAACCUGGUUGCUGUGGUUACGCCUUCAUCCCACAAGAGGUGGCAGUUGCCUGGGAGGUGACCCCAUUAGGACACCAGGUUUCAUCUCCAACCUCACCAAAACAAACUUACCUUCCCUGUAGUGGGGGAACAGAGUGACAGUCGAUGAUGAUCAGCAAUGGAAAAACCAAAUGAAGCUCAAACCUGUGAUCUCCAGAACUCUCUCCCACCUCAUCACAGGUGAGAACAAAUGAGGCUAAGAGAGGUGAGGCAAUUGCUCAAGGUUGCACAGCUGGUUCCUGCAGAAGACAACUUACAGGGGCUCCGAGGACUGUGUCUAGAGAGGAGGGACCCAGGACCAGAAGUGAAGGUAAGUACAGAAACAGUGUACACACAUCAGCAAAAUGGCCAAGGAGUCUGUGCUAGC
Erinaceus europaeus (western European hedgehog) is the source of this 679-nucleotide long non-coding RNA. RefSeq lists it as uncharacterized. The transcript is spliced from 5 exons. Lineage: Eukaryota; Metazoa; Chordata; Mammalia; Eulipotyphla; Erinaceidae. The record is from RefSeq and is a predicted model, not a curated record.